CUUCCUGGAUGGUGUGUUAACUGUUUAUCAGCAUGUGAAAUCCACAUGAUUGAAGGAGAAGUCUCCCUUGUUAAAGAUCAGCAACAGCAGAUAAACAAUGCAUGAUGCAAUCUGCUCACUAAAAAGAUUACACUAAUACAUCCCAUGCAUGUAUUUCUACCUAUCAUCUAUGUAACCUUUGUCAUGCUCUUCAGAGAGUCAUUGACAGGAAAAGGAAUUGCCGGUAAGUUGACAGGACUUUCCACACUGUUUCUGGUAGCAGCUUAUGAUUGAAUUGAUGGUAGAAGACAUGGCCCACUAAAUCAAAGAUAAUCCGUAUAGAGUGGCACCUUAACCACCACUGGUGAAAUAGAAGAUGACUAGUAGAUGGUCAUCACUUUGCAGCUCACUUUCACUUUCUGCAGCCCAUCUCUUCUCAUCCACAAUCAUUGUCUUUGGAGGAAUGGUGACAGUGCAGUCCUCAUGGCUGGGCAGGUCUACUGCAUGUUGACAGCUGAUACUUGUUCUCUAUUUGCUCUGAGAGGCUUACUACACAUUACCUCAGUUAUGACUGUACUUGUGCUGGCUUCUAUGAUGUUAAUUUCCUUUACCUGCACUGCGUUAAACUUGAUCAAUUCUGUUAC
Saccostrea echinata is the source of this 623-nucleotide long non-coding RNA. RefSeq lists it as uncharacterized. The record is from RefSeq and is a predicted model, not a curated record. Lineage: Eukaryota; Metazoa; Mollusca; Bivalvia; Ostreida; Ostreidae. The transcript is spliced from 5 exons.